CCUACGGGAGGCAGCAGUGAGGAAUUUUGGUCACUGGUCGCGAGCCUGAACCAGCCAAGUCGCGUGAGGGAAGACGGCCCUACGGGUUGUACCCCUCUUUUGCCGGGGAGCAACGGGCGCCACGUGUGUCGCCACUGAGAGUACCCGGAGAAACACCAUCGGCUAACUCCGUGCCAGCAGCCGCGGUAAUACGGAGGAUGCGAGGGUUAUCCGGAUUUAUUGGGUUUAAAGAGUGCGUAGGCGGAGCGUUAAGUCAGUGGUCAAAUUGAGGGGCUCAACCCCUUCCCGCCAUUGAAACUGGCGGUCUUGAGUGGAAGAGAAGGAUGAGGAAUGCGUGGUGUAGCGGUGAAAUGCAUAG
This 358-nucleotide ribosomal RNA is filed under the name uncultured bacterium. Its description in RNAcentral is "partial 16S ribosomal RNA". It matches the Rfam family "Bacterial small subunit ribosomal RNA", at positions 338 to 693 of the family's 1533-position model. The record is from RNAcentral.